GAUGAACGCUGGCGGCGUGCCUAAUACAUGCAAGUCGAGCGAACGGACGAGAAGCUUGCUUCUCUGAUGUUAGCGGCGGACGGGUGAGUAACACGUGGAUAACCUACCUAUAAGACUGGGAUAACUUCGGGAAACCGGAGCUAAUACCGGAUAAUAUUUUGAACCGCAUGGUUCAAAAGUGAAAGACGGUCUUGCUGUCACCUAUAGAUGGAUCCGCGCUGCAUUAGCUAGCUGGUAAGGUAACGGCUUACCAAGGCAACGAUGCAUAGACGACCUGAGAGGGUGAUCGGCCACCCGGGAACUGAGACACGGUCCAGACUCCUACGCGAGGCAGCAGUAGGGAAUCUUCCGCAAUGGGCGAAAGCCUGACGGAGCAACGCCGCGUGAGUGAUGAAGGUCUUCGGAUCGGAAAACUCUGUUAUUAGGGAAGAACAUAUGUGUAAGUACCUGUGCCCAUCUUGACGGUACCUAAUCAGAAAGCCACGGCUAACUACGUG
Molecule: ribosomal RNA, 497 nt
Filed under: uncultured bacterium
Lineage: Bacteria
Description: partial 16S ribosomal RNA
Rfam family: Bacterial small subunit ribosomal RNA
Source: RNAcentral